UGGGGCUACACACGUCAUACAAUGGCUGGUACAAAGGGUUGCCAACCCGCGAGGGGGAGCUAAUCCCACAAAGCCAGUCGUAGUCCGGAUCGUAGUCUGCAGCUCGACUACGUGAAGUCGGAAUCGCUAGUAAUCGUGGAUCAGAAUGUCACGGUGAAUUACCGGUUCCCGGGUCUU
This 177-nucleotide ribosomal RNA is filed under the name uncultured Rhodoferax sp. RNAcentral's name for it is "partial 16S ribosomal RNA". It matches the Rfam family "Bacterial small subunit ribosomal RNA", at positions 1209 to 1382 of the family's 1533-position model. Lineage: Bacteria; Pseudomonadati; Pseudomonadota; Betaproteobacteria; Burkholderiales; Comamonadaceae. The record is from RNAcentral.